AAAACCCCAUCACUCCAACUGUGGUGUUGGCGGCAGCGGUGCCAGCACCGAGGAUUCUAUCCCCGUCGGCCCACUCCACCAAAAUGCAUCGGGCGGACAUACUGAUCUCACCAAACUGACUUUGUAAAAUCAAUCAGCCAGGAGUGACGUCGUGUCCUGCCAAACCCUUGGGCCCCCAUCCCAAGCGGUACAAGUAAUG
RNAcentral lists this unclassified non-coding RNA (199 nucleotides) under uncultured Choiromyces. RNAcentral describes it as "sequence contains ITS2". The record is from RNAcentral. Lineage: Eukaryota; Fungi; Ascomycota; Pezizomycetes; Pezizales; Tuberaceae.